AUUGUCGGCUAUGGGAUAAAUAAAAUAUAUACAUAUUUAUUGAUCUCUCCAUAGUCGGCUAAUAAAUAGAUGUUACAGAGUGAAUUUGGGUAUAAAUUUUUUUUAUAGAAAAAAUACUUAUUAUAAAAAUUAUUGUAUA
This 139-nucleotide unclassified non-coding RNA is filed under the name Sphingobacterium sp. PM2-P1-29. The record is from RNAcentral. Lineage: Bacteria; Pseudomonadati; Bacteroidota; Sphingobacteriia; Sphingobacteriales; Sphingobacteriaceae.